This 953-nucleotide ribosomal RNA is filed under the name Cortinarius betuletorum. RNAcentral describes it as "partial large subunit ribosomal RNA". It matches the Rfam family "Eukaryotic large subunit ribosomal RNA", at positions 48 to 979 of the family's 3401-position model. The record is from RNAcentral. Lineage: Eukaryota; Fungi; Basidiomycota; Agaricomycetes; Agaricales; Cortinariaceae.
AACCGGGAGAAGACUAACAGGAUUCCCCUAGUAACUGCGAGUGAAGCGGGAAAAGCUCAAAUUUAAAAUCUGGCAGUCUUUUGGCUGUCCGAGUUGUAAUCUAGAGAAGUGUUAUCCGCGCUGGACCGUGUACAAGUCUCCUGGAAUGGAGCAUCAUAGAGGGUGAGAAUCCCGUCUUUGACAUGGGCUGCCAGGGCUUUUGUGAUGCGCUCUCAAAGAGUCGAGUUGUUUGGGAAUGCAGCUCAAAAUGGGUGGUAAAUUCCAUCUAAAGCUAAAUAUUGGCGAGAGACCGAUAGCGAACAAGUACCGUGAGGGAAAGAUGAAAAGAACUUUGGAAAGAGAGUUAAACAGUACGUGAAAUUGCUGAAAGGGAAACGCUUGAAGUCAGUCGUGUCGUCCAGGGAUCAACCUCGCUUUUGCUUGGUGCACUUUCUGGUCUGACGGGUCAGCAUCAAUUUUGACUAUUGGAAAAAGAUCAAGGGAAUGUGGCAUCUCUGGAUGUGUUAUAGCCCUUGGUCGCAUACAAUGGUUUCGGGAUUGAGGAACUCAGCACGCCGCAAGGCCGGGUGUCAAAACCACGUACGUGCUUAGGAUGCUGACAUAUAUAAUGGCUUUAAUCGACCCGUCUUGAAACACGGACCAAGGAGUCUAACAUGCCUGCGAGUGUUUGGGUGGAAAACCCGAGCGCGUAAUGAAAGUGAAAGGUUGAGAUCCCUGUCGUGGGGAGCAUUGACGCCCGGACCAGACCUUCUGUGACGGUUCCGCGGUAGAGCAUGUAUGUUGGGACCCGAAAGAUGGUGAACUAUGCCUGAAUAGGGUGAAUCCAGAGGAAACUCUGGUGGAGGCUCGUAGCGAUUCUGACGUGCAAAUCGAUCGUCAAAUUUGGGUAUAGGGGCGAAAGACUAAUCGAACCAUCUAGUAGCUGGUUCCUGCCGAAUUUCCCCCUUCAGGAA